AGGCAUUGCAACCAUUCCCAAAGCACCCUGCAGCCAGUUGCACAGUGGGAUAGCUACCACAGUGCACUGCUUUCUUUGUCGUUGCAAGAGCUGCUAGUGUGGAUGCGCUCCAGCCAGGGCUGUCCCUGGGGGGUGCGGGGCCUAGGACAAAUCAGUCUCCUUGCCGGCCGCCAGGCCGUCCCUUGCCGCCUCCUCGCUGUCCGCACACCCGCCUGCCGCUCGUCUCUUCACCCACCUGGUUGACUCUAGCCUCCCCAUUAGUUUCCUUGCCACCUGUCCAGCACUCCACUAGUCCGCUGCUCUCCUCCUCGCCGUCCAGCCGCCCACCCCUCCCCCUCCUUACUCCCCUUCCACCUGCCUGCCACUCACCUCUUCACCCCGCUCACCCUCCCACCUCACCUGAAUAUUGGGACAAAUGGCAUCCCGAUUGUACAUCGGUCAGGACGUGGGACAAAGGGCUGAAUAUCGGGACAGUCCCUAUUUUAUCAGAGCACGGGGGCCCCCAAAACGUAGGGCCUGGGGCGGUUGCCCCGAUUUGCCCUACUCAAGGGACGGCUCUGGCUCCAGCGACACAAGGAGCACUUCUGACCCCUGGACGGCACUCAGACACUGCUCCCACUCCACACAAACCAGCUCGGACCUGCAAAGUGAGAUCACCCCUUUCCCCUCGCCCCGAGGAUUCCUCCUGAGUCGCGGACUUCGCUUAGCUCUCACUGAGCCCUGAGGAUCACUAGCACGUGUGGCACCAGGCUGCUGGCAAUCUCGGUGACAAGAACUCACCCUUGUGCACCUUCAUGGACCCAGCCUCCAGCCCUUAGCACGGGCAUGAGGCAGACUAGGCCCCCAAGUUUUACAUGCACCUCUCUUCGUAUCACAGACACAUCUCUGCCAAGCUGCUCCCAGUCAUCCACAGCUGACACACAUGCAGGAAAAUGCUGGUAUUCCGAUCCGUGGAACACAACACAAACGGUGGCAUGUUCUUCUUAGUCGUUCUUCAUAGCUGUAGCUUUCUAUGGCCAGAAAGGACUAUCUACAAUACAGGCCAGGAAUUUCAUCCACUUACAGCUGUACUGAGCUCAAUACCUUGUAUUUGACUAAUCAGCCUCCACAAAGGCAUCCAAUCUUCAUUGGAAGACUUCCUGAGAUGGAGGAGCCUCCACUUCCAUUGGUAGUUUGUAAACCUUUGCACCAGCCUUACUGAACCAUUUCCAGUGGCUAUUGCCAGCUCCAGAGUUAGGGAAGGGGCAAAGUUAAGGUUGUGUUGCAAUUGUGGCAUGUUCUUGACCUCUGCAUGGCUGUAGUUUAUGGGUAUUUAAUUACCUUUAAUUUUUUAAUUGAUUCCCCCACCCCACCUCCCAUAACUAUGUCUACCCUAGAGCUUUUCCCAGCAUAGCUGUGUUGGUCAGCGGGGUGAUUUUUCACACCCCCCAUCAGACAGAGCUAGGCUAGCAAAAAGUUUAAGUGCAGACUGGGCAAGAAAGUGGGUUUUUUAGUUUAGAGAACUUUAAACUAUUAAUCUUAACACAAACAUUUUGGUAUAAAAGGGCAAAGCUUCCAAGAGGAACUUCUGCCGAAUGCAAGAAAAAUGCACAACACACGUUGUGUGAAAGCUAUCGGCGCUCGGGCUCAGGCUUCAGUUCAUGGGUGUCGUUCAGGUUCAGUGGCCGCAGUCCAUCCCCUUGAACAAACCUUUCCCUGGCCCAGCAGAUUGCUGGCAACCCUCGUGCAGUUCAUAGGGACAUAGUCUGGCAGCACGUGUGCAUUUCCAGAUCAGCGACUGCUCAGUUUGGCUUGUGCUGCUCUGAGAUUCCAGAUUCAUUAGCUAUUGGCUUUCAGAGCUGGUUUCCUGCAGAAGACAGGGGUGUCCUGUAUUAACAGAUCAACGCCAAGUGACUGUGAUCAGUCCACGGACAAUUAGAACCACAGUUUCAGCCCCAGCUGUGUGCAAAAAACAUUUCAAGACCAAGAUGAUUUUUGUCAAAAGCUGCCUAGGGUGAUGGGGCGGAAUCUCAGGAACAUCUUGAACCAGUCACCCCAUACUGGGACCAGUAACCCGUCCAUGAAUGACCAUAGAAACCAGCACAUUUCAAGGCCAUCUGAAUGCACCUGUGGAAUUUAGGGUAGUUAGAAUAGUUGGUUUUUAUGCAGAAAAUGAUGCUUCUGUGGACUAGCUAUUGCCUCUGGGGGAGGUGGAUGACCUACCCCGGCAGCAGAACCUUCCCGUUGCCGAGUAUCUACACUGAUCCACUACAGCACUCCAGUCAUGGUGUCUCAAGUGUAGACAAGCCCUGAGAUAUGACAUUCGGUGACACCCCUCGUCCCUCCUAUUCCUCACUGCGCUGAAUCCCACCAGCCCAUGCUCACCGGUCCCGGCUCUCCUACAACUCCCCCGUUCUCUCGGGGUUUCUCUCUGGGAUGAAGAAGCAGGGUCCAGGGUAACUUCCCCUCUGGCUGGGGCCUUAACUUCCUGGAACACAGAGUUCCUGUCUCUGUGUUUUAGGAGCCCCUUUGCUGAGCAGUGUCUGGCUCUGUGUGUUCCCAGCAGAGAUGGGGAGAGUUAAAUCCCUCCUGCACCUGGGGAGCUGCCCCCAGCCUUUCCCUGUGGUAAAAUGGGCUGGGGUUAAAGUAAUAGAAAUGUCCCACAAAUUCCCUGAUCUCCCUUGUUUUCUUUCCCCUGAGCAGGGUGUCCAGUUUCCAAACCUGAUGUGAUCUCCCAGCUGGAACGAGGGGAGGAGGCAUGGGUCCCGGAUCUUCAGGGCUGUGUGGAAGGAGAGAUCCCCAGAGGUGCCUGCACAGGUGCUGGGAUGGUGAGUGAGGAGAAGAAGCAGAAUCCUCAGCAGGAAGAUUCUGAGCAAGUGGCACCACAUGGGGGAUUAUCGCACGGCUCCAGAGGGAAUGUGUCCCGGCAUUGUGUGCAGGGCAAAGCCUGUGAGAGUCAGUACAGGCCAGAGAGGUCGCAGAGAAACCAGCCAGCGGAGAAAGUAGGUAACUCCAUUAAUUGUCAGGGAACUCACCAGGACCUUCUGGAAACCACAGCCCAGCCGAGAAUACCCACAGGAGAGAGAAAAAACACAUGCACUGAGUGUGGAAAACAUUUCACUAACCACUCAGGCCUUUUAAAACAUCAGAGAAUCCACACAGGAGAAAGACCCCAUGAAUGCAGUGAGUGCUAGAAAACCUUCACUCUGAGCUCUACCCUUAGUAACCAUCAGAGGAUCCACACAGGAGGGAAACGCUAGGAAUGCUGUGAGUGUGGGAAAAGCUUCACUGUCAACUCAGACCUUAUUGGACAUCAGAAUAUCCACAAGGGAAAGAUACCUCAUCAGUGCUCUGAGUAUGGAAAAACAUUCACACAGAGUUCAGCACUAAUUACACAUCAGAGGAUCCACACUGGAGUGAGACCCUAUGAGUGCCAUAAAUGCAGAGAAAAAUUCAGUGUCAAGACAGCCCUCAAUACACAUCAGAGGAUCCACACGGGAGAGCGCCCCUAUGAAUGGCGUGAAUGCGGGAAAGUGUUCUGUCAGAAAUCAACCCUAAUUACACAUCAGGCAAGGCAUACAGGAGAGAGACCCUAUCAGUGCAGUGGUGCUUCAUGAACGGCAAGGCCCCGAAUCCCAAGGACUAACAAUGGCUGCAGUAGACUGUAUUGCAUCCAGUUUUCACCCCUCCUCUCCACCACUUCAGAAAGGCUGUGGACAAAUUGGAUCGAGUCCUGCGGAGGGCAACGAAAAUGAUCAGGGGGCUGGGGCACAUGACUUACGAGGAGAGGCUGAGCGAAUUGGGCAUGUUUAGUCUGCAGAAGAGACGAGGGAUGGGCAUUUGAUAGCAGUCUUCAACUACCUGAAAGCAACGGGGGAUUGCAAAGACUAUGGAGCUCGACUGUUCUCAGGGGCAGCAGAUGACAGAACAAGGAGCUCUAUGGUCUCUAGUUCAAGUGGGGCAGGGCUAGGUUGGAGAUGAAGGAAAACAAUUUCAGGGGGAGGGUGGUUACCUCGGGAGGUGGUGGAAUCUCCAUCCUUUGCAGUUUUUCAGGUUCGUCUUGACAAAGCCCUGGCUGGGACGAUAUAGUUGGGGUUGGUCUGGCUUUGAGUAGGGGAUUGGACUAAAGGAAUUCCUGAGGUCGCCUCCAACACUCAUCUUCUAUGAGUCUAUGACUGAAGUAUGUGGUUACAAUCUACUUAGAUAGGAAAGGUAACUAUUAAUGCGUAGGUCAUAUACGGGGGAGGGUUGUCACCGUUUUUCCAUCAGUCACAAUUGUUUCUGUUUAUAUCGCUAUCCCUUGUUAAAAAAUGUCUUUUUGUUUCCUAACUGUACUCAAGUGCUGUGUGUGAUACAGGAGCAGUGGUCUAGAGUAAAAUUAGUAACCUGGGGCUAGACCAUUGCUUUGGGUACAGAGGAUCUGGAUUUCCCUGAGGAUUUGAAGACACUCAGGCACGACGUUGUGUCUACUAUCAACUGUCAGGGCUUAUGUAGCUUAGAGGAGGGUGCUUGAGCUGCUGACCGUCUGGAUGAGUUUGGUCGCUAACAUCCAGCUGACAAAGUGGAAGGACGUAACAAGGAGACCCACCAUCCUCAGAACCCUGAGACGGUCACGAUAUACCUGUACAGUGAGCCACACGUCAAUUGCGCACAGGGAAGGCACCCCAUAGCGGAGUUCCCUGAAUCCAAAUAGACCUAAAUCUCUGCCCUAUGAAAUCAUGGCACACGUGCUCUUUCCGCAGUGAAAGCAUGUAAAGGAUGCAAGCUUUCUGUGAUAAAUUGGUCACCGAGAGCUGUUGUUCUUUUCUCAGCGCUACUGUAUAUUUGAAAUGCUACCGAGGAAGCUAGGGUGAUGACUGACGCGAGGAAAAUUGUUUGCCAACUCCACUGCCCAUUGAUUACAGUCCCAAAGAAUACCUGGGUUAGCUGGACACUAAUCAUCCUUCACUGUUCGGCUCCAAAGUUUCAGGAGGCAAAGACAGAGCGCGAGAGCGUCUUCAGAUUACUUUCCUUUUCUGUGACUCACACACUGUUGCCUUGUGGGGAACAAGGACUUUCAUGCAGUGAAGAAAUGAGGGGAACCAAUGAGGCAAUGGGUGUGUCGGGCUCCAAAUUCAGAUUUCAGGAUACAUGAAUGUUGAGAGUGUCUGAUGCUAUGGCAGAACAAUUAAGCUGAUGGUGCAGUUGCUUCGCUGUAGCACUUCGUUUGCAGAUGCUCUAAGCCAAGGGGUGAGAGCUUGCCCAUCUGCUUGAUUAGUCCACCCCUGCAAGUGGCGAUAGCUCCGCUGAGGUUAGAUGCUCUCCGUCGACGUACCGUUGUCUUCACAAGAAGCUAGGGAUUUGUCAAUCCUCAGUAAUGUAAUUAGACUGAUUAAUGGCUUUGGUGUAGACUAGAUGUUGGCUUUCUCUUGUGUUUUAUUGAUUUCCAUCUCCUCUAUCUUCUCCUACUCUGAAAGAUUAAAAAGUAUGAAAAUAUUA
Chrysemys picta bellii (western painted turtle) is the source of this 5457-nucleotide long non-coding RNA. RefSeq lists it as uncharacterized. The record is from RefSeq and is a predicted model, not a curated record. Lineage: Eukaryota; Metazoa; Chordata; Testudines; Emydidae.